UCAAAUCUGGCCUCAGACAGUUUCCGAAAUGAUGUCUUCCCUCUUUGAUAGCUGACCACCAGGGCAAGUGGAGCCCCACGGAUAACCUAUGACCAGUGUCCUGACUGCCUUUUAUUAUCCUCCAUCAAACUUCUAACUGGUACUCUGUAAAAUCUCCUCUGUGGAAGGAGAGGUUCUUAUUGGGGGAGGGGGGUCGAGGAGGCCAUUUUUGCCCAAUGUCCCAACUGCCACGUAUUGUCCUUCAUUAAACUCACUAACUGGGAAUCUCUUGGAAGGGGAAGGCGUUUACAUCUAGCCCGCUUCCUGCAAAAGGUGAAAUUUAAGCUGUCUUGAAGGAAGUCGGGGAAAUUCGGAAGCCUGUGCGCUUGUGGAGCUGAGCGUUCCAGACCCCAGACAUAGCCCGUGCAGAGGGAUAAAGAAAGAGAUGGAAUGCCCUGUCCAAAGCAGUAGAGGGUGAAGAAUCAAGGAUGAUACCAAGGUUACGAGUCACAACGACUGAGAAGAGAAUGAUAUUCAAUAUUAAUAAGGGGGAAGUUCAGAAGGAGGAAGGUUUCAGGGAAGAAGGAUAUUGGAAAGACGAGUUGUUUUGGACAUGCUAAGUUUAAGAGAGAAGGUAAGAAUACAGUAAAAGAUGCAUCGUUAUAUUUUGGCAGAGAUUAGACCUAGAAAGAUAGUUCUGAAAAUCAUUUACACAGAAAUAAUAAUGGAACCUAUGCGAGUAGAUGAAGUCACCCAGUGAGACAGUAAAAAUUGCAAUAGCUCUUCAUCUUUGUGCAUAUGUGUGAUGUACUAUAAAGACAUCAGUAGUCUUCCCACCUCGAUAAAGGCAGAAGUUUCUGGGGAAACUCAAAUUCUCUAAAUUUCUCCAAAGUAAAGUCUACAAUAAUGGAGGGACUUGUUUGGUUUUUUUUUUUCCCCUAUUCAGAGGGUGUUUGAAUAUCAAC
Monodelphis domestica (gray short-tailed opossum) is the source of this 944-nucleotide long non-coding RNA. RefSeq lists it as uncharacterized. The record is from RefSeq and is a predicted model, not a curated record. Lineage: Eukaryota; Metazoa; Chordata; Mammalia; Didelphimorphia; Didelphidae.